UUUUUUUUCUUUUGAGACAGAGUCUUGCUCUGUCACCCAUGCUAGAGUGCAGUGGUGUGAUCUCUGCUCACUGCAACCUCUGCUUCCUGGAUUCAAGCGAUUCUUCUGUCUCAGCCUCCCAAGUAGCUGGGAGUACAGCCUCCCACCACCACACCUGGCUAAUUUUUGUAGUUUUAGUAGAGAUGGGGUUUCGCCAUGGCGAGGCUGGUUUCGAAUUCCUGACUUCAGGUGAUCCACUCACCUCUGCCUCCCAAACUGCUGGGAUUACAGGCGUGAACCACCACGCCCAGCCUAAAAGUCUUGCUUCAUGUUUAUCAUGUGUUACAAAUGGCACCUGCUAAAAUAACCUUGGGGAAAACAAAUAAAGGCAUUUUGAAAGGGAUACUUUUUAAUCAUUGUCAUCAAUACCAGUAGAAAUGUGAUCUGCACUGGCUCAGAAAGUGACUUCUUCCCCACUACUUUUUCUUGUUUCUCCACAUGUUGCCUCCAUACACAAGUAGAACUUGUCAGGAGCUAUUGCAAAGCUCCACGACUUGGCACCUUUGCCCAUCAGCUGACAGAUAUUUUUAAAUGUUCGAUUUUUGAGGGCAAGGACUGGUGUGUCCUUUUCCAAUAGAGACCCAAGCAGUUGGUGUUCUUAGUAAGUAAGCCACUGGUAGUUAAUACCAUGUAUAAAUGGAUUGAUGGCAAUCUCCCCUUCUCUCCUCCCUCUUUCUUCUCCUCCUGAUGGCAUUCCUCAGUUUAACAGGCGUCAUCAUUGUCGCCGCUGUGGCCGGCUAGUGUGCAGCUCCUGCUCCACUAAGAAAAUGGUGGUUGAAGGCUGCAGAGAGAACCCUGCUCGUGUGUGUGAUCAGUGCUAUAGUUACUGCAACAAAGAUGUACCAGAGGAGCCUUCAGGAAAACCAGAAGCUCUAGACAGCUCCAAGAGUGAAAGCCCUCCAUACUCAUUUGUGGUGAGAGUCCCCAAAGCAGAUGAGGUGGAAUGGAUUUUGGAUCUCAAAGAGGAGGAAAAUGAGCUGGUGCGGAGUGAAUUUUACUAUGAGCAGGCCCCCAGCGCCUCCUUGUGCAUUGCCAUCCUGAAUCUGCACCGGGACAGCAUUGCCUGUGGUCACCAGCUGAUUGAGCACUGCUGCAGGCUCUCCAAGGGCCUCACCAACCCAGAGGUGGAUGCCGGGCUGCUCACAGACAUCAUGAAGCAGCUGCUGUUCAGCGCCAAGAUGAUGUUCGUCAAAGCCGGCCAGAGCCAAGACUUGGCUCUUUGUGACAGCUACAUCAGCAAGGUAGACGUGCUGAAUAUUUUAGUUGCUGCUGCCUAUCGCCACGUGCCAUCUUUGGAUCAGAUCUUGCAGCCAGCUGCGGUAACCAGGCUAAGGAACCAGCUUUUGGAAGCCGAGUACUACCAACUGGGCGUUGAGGUCUCCACAAAGACUGGGCUUGAUACCACCGGGGCAUGGCAUGCUUGGGGCAUGGCCUGCCUCAAAGCCGGGAACCUCACUGCUGCACGGGAGAAGUUUAGUCGCUGUCUGAAGCCCCCGUUUGACCUCAAUCAGCUGAAUCAUGGCUCAAGGCUGGUGCAGGAUGUGGUCGAGUACCUAGAGUCCACAGUGAGGCCCCUUGUAUCCUUGCAAGAUGACGAUUACUUUGCCACCCUGAGGGAACUGGAAGCUACCCUUCGGACGCAGAGCCUUUCUCUGGCAGUGAUUCCUGAAGGGAAAAUCAUGAACAACACCUACUACCAGGAAUGCCUCUUCUACCUGCACAACUAUAGCACCAACCUGGCCAUCAUCAGCUUCUAUGUGAGGCACAGCUGCCUGCGGGAAGCUCUUCUGCACCUUCUCAACAAGGAGAGUCCUCCAGAAGUUUUUAUAGAAGGCAUUUUCCAGCCAAGUUAUAAAAGUGGGAAGCUACACACUUUGGAGAACUUGCUAGAAUCCAUUGAUCCAACCUUGGAGAGCUGGGGAAAGUACUUGAUUGCUGCCUGCCAACAUUUACAGAAGAAGAACUACUACCACAUUCUGUAUGAGCUGCAGCAGUUUAUGAAGGACCAAGUUCGGGCCGCCAUGACCUGUAUUCGGUUCUUCAGUCACAAAGCAAAGUCAUAUACAGAACUGGGAGAGAAGCUCUCAUGGCUACUUAAGGCCAAGGACCACCUGAAGAUCUACCUCCAAGAAACAUCCCGCAGCUCUGGAAGGAAGAAAACCACAUUCUUCAGAAAGAAGAUGACUGCAGCUGAUGUGUCAAGGCACAUGAACACACUUCAGCUGCAGAUGGAAGUGACCAGGUUCUUGCAUCGGUGUGAAAGUGCUGGGACCUCUCAAAUCACCACUUUGCCUCUGCCAACCCUGUUUGGAAAUAACCACAUGAAAAUGGAUGUUGCCUGCAAGGUCAUGCUGGGAGGGAAAAAUGUAGAAGAUGGUUUUGGAAUUGCUUUCCGUGUUCUGCAGGACUUCCAGCUGGAUGCUGCCAUGACCUACUGCAGAGCUGCCCGCCAGUUGGUGGAGAAAGAGAAGUACAGUGAGAUCCAGCAACUGCUCAAAUGUGUCAGUGAGUCAGGCGUGGCAGCCAAAAGUGAUGGGGACACCAUCCUCCUCAACUGCCUGGAAGCGUUCAAGAGAAUUCCACCCCAGGAGCUGGAGGGCCUGAUCCAGGCAAUACACAAUGAUGACAACAAGAUAGUGCCAAUCUUGGCAGCAUUGAGGGACAGAGUUCACACCGAAGAGAGAGGACAGUCCCCUAGCACUUUGUGCUAAUUGGUAUUAAAAAAUUCAUGAAUCAAGUGAGCCAAAAGCUUAAAGAAGGAGAAAAAGGAUCCAGGGGGCCUGCUAACAUUUUCUCCAUGGCAUAAUCAACAGCGACAGUCUUCUUUAAAAGCUUUCAGAAAGCUGCGAAGUUUACAUGGUAAAUAAAGCGGCACACGGGUAUAAAAUAGAGCUAGAAAAGCAACUCUUCCCAACACAUAAGUUUGUACCGUAAGUUUCCUUAACAAAGCAACGGCAUUCUGUUUGCAGGCCCAACCCAAACCUGGAUUGCAUCAUCAGGCACAAACUCAGCUGCUCACGAUGCACAGCCCAGCGAGUCCGGCACCUCCCAUGCACACAGGUAGUGGAGAGAACCGCACUGCCUUCACACACCUGAAGUACUUGCCACUCAGGGGCUCCAGGCCCUCAGCCAGGGCGCAGUGCAGGCUGGUCUGCGCCCCCUCCCGUGCCGUCUUGACAAAGGGGGAGAAGAGCCGCCAGAGCAGGCAGAGCAGGGAGGAGUGCCGGACCAGCUCAGAGCGGACGACGCCUGGGUGCACUGCGCAUUCUGGAAGUAAAGAUCAUUGUUCCCAAACUCUGGCUUAUUCACUGUAACAAAUGGGCCCCUAGAUCCGCAGAUGUCAGAGCCAGCAGCUCACCCAAUGCUCCAGGAGAGCACAGAAUCAUUAAGGAAUAAGAACUGGCCUGACCUGAUUUUACAGCUGAGAAGAUGAAGUCAGGGGAGGUUAAAGGGGCACGUCCACAUCCACAUGGGGCUAGCAUGUGGUAGAGCAAGAACUUGGACCCAGGGGUCUGAAAUCCAGCCCUAACUCCCUGAGUCCAGGCAGUGGCAGCUCUGUAGCUCAGAUCACCAUGUGGACCUCAGCAAAUGGCACCCAGAAGGAAGCACCCUAGGUUUAAAGCUGAGCAGCCACAUUCCGGUUCUGAUGCCCUCACCUGCCAUAUACUCUUUAGCUGGCCAUUUCCUUGGACCUCAGUUCUGCUCUAUAAACUAGGAGUAAUAAUACCUGUUACCAAAGGCCUCUGCUGCCAGAUCACCUGAGGUCAGGAGUUUGAGACCAACCUGGACAACAUGGUGAAAUCUCAUCUCUUCUAAAAAUACAAAAUUAGCCAGGCGUGAUAUUGCGUGCUUGUAAUCCCAACUACUCAAGAGGCUGAUGCAGGAGAAUCACUUGAACCCAGGAGGCAGAGGUCGCAGUGAGCCAAGAUCGCAUUAAUGCACCCCAGCCCGGGCUACAAGAGCGAAACUCAAGUCUCAAAAAAAAAACAAAACAAAACAAACAAAAAAACAAAACAAAACAAACAAAAAAACAAAAAGCCUCUGCCUGUUGCAAAAAGCUAUUGUGAAAAUCAAAUGAGAUGAGAGAUAAGAUGUGACAUAAAUACAAGGUAACUUUAUGAGGUUCUUAACCCC
This 4173-nucleotide small RNA is filed under the name Pongo abelii (Sumatran orangutan). RNAcentral's name for it is "retained intron". The record is from RNAcentral. Lineage: Eukaryota; Metazoa; Chordata; Mammalia; Primates; Hominidae.